UACGUAGGGGGCUAGCGUUGUCCGGAAUUAUUGGGCGUAAAGCGCACGUAGGCGGCUUUCUAAGUCAGGGGUGAAAUCCUGGAGCUCAACUCCAGAACUGCCUUUGAUACUGGAGAGCUUGAGUCCGGAAGAGGUGAGUGGAACUCCGAGUGUAGAGGUGAAAUUCGUAGAUAUUCGGAAGAACACCAGUGGCGAAGGCGGCUCACUGGUCCGGUACUGACGCUGAUGUGCGAAAGCGUGGGGAGCAAACAGG
Molecule: ribosomal RNA, 253 nt
Filed under: uncultured bacterium
Lineage: Bacteria
Description: partial 16S ribosomal RNA
Rfam family: Bacterial small subunit ribosomal RNA
Source: RNAcentral